This 2925-nucleotide ribosomal RNA is filed under the name Escherichia coli. Its description in RNAcentral is "bacterial LSU rRNA". It matches the Rfam family "Bacterial large subunit ribosomal RNA". Lineage: Bacteria; Pseudomonadati; Pseudomonadota; Gammaproteobacteria; Enterobacterales; Enterobacteriaceae. The record is from RNAcentral.
GGGUUGUGAGGUUAAGCGACUAAGCGUACACGGUGGAUGCCCUGGCAGUCAGAGGCGAUGAAGGACGUGCUAAUCUGCGAUAAGCGUCGGUAAGGUGAUAUGAACCGUUAUAACCGGCGAUUUCCGAAUGGGGAAACCCAGUGUGUUUCGACACACUAUCAUUAACUGAAUCCAUAGGUUAAUGAGGCGAACCGGGGGAACUGAAACAUCUAAGUACCCCGAGGAAAAGAAAUCAACCGAGAUUCCCCCAGUAGCGGCGAGCGAACGGGGAGGAGCCCAGAGCCUGAAUCAGUGUGUGUGUUAGUGGAAGCGUCUGGAAAGGCGCGCGAUACAGGGUGACAGCCCCGUACACAAAAAUGCACAUGCUGUGAGCUCGAUGAGUAGGGCGGGACACGUGGUAUCCUGUCUGAAUAUGGGGGGACCAUCCUCCAAGGCUAAAUACUCCUGACUGACCGAUAGUGAACCAGUACCGUGAGGGAAAGGCGAAAAGAACCCCGGCGAGGGGAGUGAAAAAGAACCUGAAACCGUGUACGUACAAGCAGUGGGAGCACGCUUAGGCGUGUGACUGCGUACCUUUUGUAUAAUGGGUCAGCGACUUAUAUUCUGUAGCAAGGUUAACCGAAUAGGGGAGCCGAAGGGAAACCGAGUCUUAACUGGGCGUUAAGUUGCAGGGUAUAGACCCGAAACCCGGUGAUCUAGCCAUGGGCAGGUUGAAGGUUGGGUAACACUAACUGGAGGACCGAACCGACUAAUGUUGAAAAAUUAGCGGAUGACUUGUGGCUGGGGGUGAAAGGCCAAUCAAACCGGGAGAUAGCUGGUUCUCCCCGAAAGCUAUUUAGGUAGCGCCUCGUGAAUUCAUCUCCGGGGGUAGAGCACUGUUUCGGCAAGGGGGUCAUCCCGACUUACCAACCCGAUGCAAACUGCGAAUACCGGAGAAUGUUAUCACGGGAGACACACGGCGGGUGCUAACGUCCGUCGUGAAGAGGGAAACAACCCAGACCGCCAGCUAAGGUCCCAAAGUCAUGGUUAAGUGGGAAACGAUGUGGGAAGGCCCAGACAGCCAGGAUGUUGGCUUAGAAGCAGCCAUCAUUUAAAGAAAGCGUAAUAGCUCACUGGUCGAGUCGGCCUGCGCGGAAGAUGUAACGGGGCUAAACCAUGCACCGAAGCUGCGGCAGCGACGCUUAUGCGUUGUUGGGUAGGGGAGCGUUCUGUAAGCCUGCGAAGGUGUGCUGUGAGGCACGCUGGAGGUAUCAGAAGUGCGAAUGCUGACAUAAGUAACGAUAAAGCGGGUGAAAAGCCCGCUCGCCGGAAGACCAAGGGUUCCUGUCCAACGUUAAUCGGGGCAGGGUGAGUCGACCCCUAAGGCGAGGCCGAAAGGCGUAGUCGAUGGGAAACAGGUUAAUAUUCCUGUACUUGGUGUUACUGCGAAGGGGGGACGGAGAAGGCUAUGUUGGCCGGGCGACGGUUGUCCCGGUUUAAGCGUGUAGGCUGGUUUUCCAGGCAAAUCCGGAAAAUCAAGGCUGAGGCGUGAUGACGAGGCACUACGGUGCUGAAGCAACAAAUGCCCUGCUUCCAGGAAAAGCCUCUAAGCAUCAGGUAACAUCAAAUCGUACCCCAAACCGACACAGGUGGUCAGGUAGAGAAUACCAAGGCGCUUGAGAGAACUCGGGUGAAGGAACUAGGCAAAAUGGUGCCGUAACUUCGGGAGAAGGCACGCUGAUAUGUAGGUGAAGUCCCUCGCGGAUGGAGCUGAAAUCAGUCGAAGAUACCAGCUGGCUGCAACUGUUUAUUAAAAACACAGCACUGUGCAAACACGAAAGUGGACGUAUACGGUGUGACGCCUGCCCGGUGCCGGAAGGUUAAUUGAUGGGGUUAGCGCAAGCGAAGCUCUUGAUCGAAGCCCCGGUAAACGGCGGCCGUAACUAUAACGGUCCUAAGGUAGCGAAAUUCCUUGUCGGGUAAGUUCCGACCUGCACGAAUGGCGUAAUGAUGGCCAGGCUGUCUCCACCCGAGACUCAGUGAAAUUGAACUCGCUGUGAAGAUGCAGUGUACCCGCGGCAAGACGGAAAGACCCCGUGAACCUUUACUAUAGCUUGACACUGAACAUUGAGCCUUGAUGUGUAGGAUAGGUGGGAGGCUUUGAAGUGUGGACGCCAGUCUGCAUGGAGCCGACCUUGAAAUACCACCCUUUAAUGUUUGAUGUUCUAACGUUGACCCGUGAUCCGGGUUGCGGACAGUGUCUGGUGGGUAGUUUGACUGGGGCGGUCUCCUCCUAAAGAGUAACGGAGGAGCACGAAGGUUGGCUAAUCCUGGUCGGACAUCAGGAGGUUAGUGCAAUGGCAUAAGCCAGCUUGACUGCGAGCGUGACGGCGCGAGCAGGUGCGAAAGCAGGUCAUAGUGAUCCGGUGGUUCUGAAUGGAAGGGCCAUCGCUCAACGGAUAAAAGGUACUCCGGGGAUAACAGGCUGAUACCGCCCAAGAGUUCAUAUCGACGGCGGUGUUUGGCACCUCGAUGUCGGCUCAUCACAUCCUGGGGCUGAAGUAGGUCCCAAGGGUAUGGCUGUUCGCCAUUUAAAGUGGUACGCGAGCUGGGUUUAGAACGUCGUGAGACAGUUCGGUCCCUAUCUGCCGUGGGCGCUGGAGAACUGAGGGGGGCUGCUCCUAGUACGAGAGGACCGGAGUGGACGCAUCACUGGUGUUCGGGUUGUCAUGCCAAUGGCACUGCCCGGUAGCUAAAUGCGGAAGAGAUAAGUGCUGAAAGCAUCUAAGCACGAAACUUGCCCCGAGAUGAGUUCUCCCUGACCCUUUAAGGGUCCUGAAGGAACGUUGAAGACGACGACGUUGAUAGGCCGGGUGUGUAAGCGCAGCGAUGCGUUGAGCUAACCGGUACUAAUGAACCGUGAGGCUUAACCUUACAACGCCGAAG